GGCAAAUCACUAGCACAAACUGUGACAAGAAAAUGUCUUCAAAAUUGAUCGUUUUGUUAGUUGUUUUCUCCCUCCAAUGCCUCUUGGCAUUGGCCUCUGACCCAGAUCCAGUUCAAGACUUUUGCAUACCCAACCCCAAGUAUGGUGCCAUAAGACCUGCUAGGUUCACUAUCCUCCCAUGCAAAAAUUCAUCUGAAGCAACCACCGAUGACUUUGUCUUCUCCGGCAUGAAAUCUGCUGGUAACUUCUCAGAGACAGGCCUUGCAACCAUUCCUGUGAACCCAGCAAAUUUUCCUGGCCUUAACACGCUAGGCAUGUCAUUUGUCAGAGCUGACCUUAAGGCUGGUGCUAUUAAUCCACCACAUUUUCAUCCCAGGGCAACCGAGAUCACUCAUGUGGUGCAAGGAAGUGUUUAUUCAGGCUUUGUUGAUUCUAGCAAUAGGGUUUUUGCCAGAGUUCUUGAGCAAGGAGAUGUCAUGAUUUUCCCCAGAGGUUUAGCGCACUUCCAAAUGAAUGUUGGUGAUAAGCCUUCAACAGUUUUUGGAAGUUUCAAUGGCCAAAACCCAGGAAGCCAAAAGAUCCCAACUGCCAUUUUCGGUUCUGGGAUUGAUGAUGAGCUCUUGGAAAAGGCUUUCGGAUUGAGUCCUAAGCAAAUUGGAAUGCUGAAAAGAAGGUUUGAUCCCAAAAGGGUAAGUUGAGGCAUGAAACAUGCAUAAGGUUUUCUCGGUCAGCUUGCAACAUUAUGAGAUCUUGUUCGUUUGUUUGUCCUAUAUAUGAAAUCAUGGCUUUUUU
RNAcentral lists this unclassified non-coding RNA (792 nucleotides) under Hevea brasiliensis (rubber tree). The record is from RNAcentral. Lineage: Eukaryota; Viridiplantae; Streptophyta; Magnoliopsida; Malpighiales; Euphorbiaceae.